CAGCCGGCAGCGUCUAGGAGGGCGGGACGUUGUAGUGAAAACAAAUUGACUACUGAAGAAUGCGGCCUCAGAAGAGCAGCUCCCAUAUGUAUUCUGGAAUGACUUCCUUAGUCACUCUCCUCUGUCGGCAUGGCUGCCGCAGAUGGUAGCCAGCCAUGCGCACUGCCGCUUAACCAACAUUGGUGCCGUGACUCGGAUACACCACUGAGGACCUGCUGUGACUGAUGCUGCUUGCUGCCUCCUCCCCCAUCCAGCAAGACUGCUAGACCUCUAGCAUGUCCCUCGCUGCCUCUUCUGGACCCCCAUAGAGCUACCACUACUGCUACCACCAUGAUUCUUCACCACAGUGAGUGUCCGCCGUUCUCAUGGCUGUAGUCUGAGUUGUAUUCUUUGCGACGGACACCCCGGGAGUUAUCCUCAGGCUGCGCUGACAACGGCAGGCACAUUUUCACUCCUGACGAGCGGGUAAAUGCUGGCUCAGGUCCAACGGUGGACCAACUGUAGUGCCCUUACCAUCCCUUGAUGAAGAGGAUGGGUAACGAGCUGAUUCUUAUAUUUCUCUUCACUCUCCAGGAUGCUCGAGAUUGGAGUCUGAUCCCAGUUUGUUAUUUUAUUUUUCUCUUGGCUACAGCCAUGGGACAAAGGGACAGAUACAUUUACCACUUACAUUGGUCGAUAGGGGCGGGUACCAAUAAAUCUAGCCACAUAACAGUGUCACGGGAACUUCUGCCAGCAUAUGGGCAAAAGCCAUAAAACAAAGAGGCAGGUACAGGUAAAUCUGGCUGAAUAACAGCUUUGCAGGAACUUCUGCCAGUGAACAGGCAAAUUAAAAAAAAACUUUAUU
Molecule: long non-coding RNA, 844 nt
Organism: Onychomys torridus (southern grasshopper mouse)
Lineage: Eukaryota; Metazoa; Chordata; Mammalia; Rodentia; Cricetidae
Exons: 3
Source: RefSeq, a predicted model, not a curated record